GGCCUUGCUUGAUGAGCUCCCUAUGCCUCAUUUGAUUGUGGAAAUCACACCUUUUCCUGCGGGCCCAUUUGCAGAAAACGAUUACUCGAAAGCUGAAAUAUUGAAGUUUCUUAAAGAAAGAAACUGAAAUAGAGAGAUUAUGUGAAAAAUUCGUUGGUGAAGAAAUUACUAGCUGCUAGGGAUCUUGCGGUAUGACCAAAUAAUCCCUUUUCUAUCUUCCGUUGGUUGUUUUCUUAUAUAGUAAUUAUCUAAACAUGUUACUUAAGGGUAAUCUAUGAGAUAAAUUCUCAUUUGGAACAUAUCUUGUUGAGCAAAAAACAGUCUUUCGACAAUAUUAAGUUGCAUUAUUGUCUACUUAUCCCAAAAAAAAAAGUUAGAGUGCAUUUGGAUGGAGGGAUUUUUUCAAAUGUGUUGUAACUAUAUGAUUUUUCGCAUGUCACCUUAAAUUAGUACCAAUUACUUAGAUCUAUUGGUUGUUUCUUUUUGGUUCAACAUGCCAACUGUUCUAGCUGGCAAAAUUGAGAAGUGAUUGUUGCACUAUGUUUUUGUAGAUCAAUGUUAUUUAUGUUUAUCUUAUAGUUUUCUUCUAACUCUAAUUAUUAUUCCCAUUUAUGUUAAUCGUUUAAGCAGAAGAACGAACUAUUGUUUAUAUUUUUAUUUUCUUUGCAGAACCCAAUACUCGUGAAGUGUCUAAAAUGGUCAAGAGUAUGGAGGAUAAAAGAAUUGAUAGAAAAGAUUUCAUGAGUGUAUGAGAAAAGAGAAUCACAACAGUUAGGAAGAACCACCCAGCGAUGUGCAAUCUUUGCAACUGCACCAACAAGGUGGGCACAAGAAGAUAGCAGUAGUUGCAAAAGCUUAAAGACGGCCAAUAGAGGAAAAAUAAAAUAUUGCAGCAAAUGAAUGAAGAAUUGGUUUAUAA
Molecule: long non-coding RNA, 919 nt
Filed under: Erythranthe guttata (spotted monkey flower)
Lineage: Eukaryota; Viridiplantae; Streptophyta; Magnoliopsida; Lamiales; Phrymaceae
Description: long non-coding RNA (EGUT_LNC001167)
Source: RNAcentral